RNAcentral lists this transfer RNA (77 nucleotides) under Streptococcus parasanguinis. Its description in RNAcentral is "tRNA-Ile". It matches the Rfam family "tRNA". From Rfam's summary of the family: Transfer RNA (tRNA) molecules are approximately 80 nucleotides in length. Their secondary structure includes four short double-helical elements and three loops (D, anti-codon, and T loops). Further hydrogen bonds mediate the characteristic L-shaped molecular structure. tRNAs have two regions of fundamental functional importance: the anti-codon, which is responsible for specific mRNA codon recognition, and the 3' end, to which the tRNAs corresponding amino acid is attached (by aminoacyl-tRNA synthetases). tRNAs cope with the degeneracy of the genetic code in two manners: having more than one tRNA (with a specific anti-codon) for a particular amino acid; and 'wobble' base-pairing, i.e. permitting non-standard base-pairing at the 3rd anti-codon position. Lineage: Bacteria; Bacillati; Bacillota; Bacilli; Lactobacillales; Streptococcaceae. The record is from RNAcentral. RNAcentral also lists the same sequence under 60 other names.
GGGCUUGUAGCUCAGGUGGUUAGAGCGCACGCCUGAUAAGCGUGAGGUCGGAGGUUCGAGUCCUCCCAAGCCCACCA